GACGUCCGAAUUUCAGUUUGAACCUGCCGAUCUCAUAAAAAAAGCCGGAGGACAUAAUCGUCACCAACCUACGAAAACUUACAAAGGAUUGAUGCAUACAAAUGAAUCCGUCAAAGUCAUCUUGGGCCCAACGAUACCCCGAUGAGUUUAACCAAUUACUGUGAGUACCACUAGUGGCUGAAACCACAAUGUCUAUACACCAAUGCAGGCGUAAGUUUGUUGAAGUAGAUAUAUAAAUACUGAUUUGAAAGAAUAUUACCCCCCUCAAAUGCUCAAAUAAUUAAGUUUUUUUUUUUGCUGAUCCAAGAAGAAGGAAGUCUGUAUAUUUUUGUUUAUUUGUAAAUGUAAGGAAUCGGAUUAUAUCUGUAAUUUAUGUAAAAAAA
Molecule: long non-coding RNA, 383 nt
Organism: Drosophila pseudoobscura
Lineage: Eukaryota; Metazoa; Arthropoda; Insecta; Diptera; Drosophilidae
Exons: 2
Source: RefSeq, a predicted model, not a curated record